UCCGGGGUCGAUCCAGGCGCGCUCUACGGUCGAUUUGGAGGCGAUCGGUGUAUGUACCUCGCCGCCGCCGGACCCCUAUGGACCCUCCAAAAUCGAGUGGUCCCAGGGGGGCCGUUUUCUAGAAAUGGUCCCUCUGGACCAGACGGACCCUCUGGGCCAUUUUCACAAAAUGGACCCUCUGGCCGAGGGGCCACGGCCCCCCUAGGGGGGCCAUUUGGGGCCGAAAAAAAAAAGUGCUCCAAAUCGCUCCGGGGUCGAUCCAGGCGCGCUCUACGGUCGAUUUGGAGGCGAUCGGUGUAUGUACCUCGCCGCCGCCGGACCCCUAUGGACCCUCCAAAAUCGAGUGGUCCC
This 351-nucleotide unclassified non-coding RNA is filed under the name Trichophyton tonsurans. The record is from RNAcentral. Lineage: Eukaryota; Fungi; Ascomycota; Eurotiomycetes; Onygenales; Arthrodermataceae.